GGGUUGUGAGGUUAAGCGACUAAGCGUACACGGUGGAUGCCCUGGCAGUCAGAGGCGAUGAAGGACGUGCUAAUCUGCGAAAAGCGCCGGCGAGGUGAUAUGAACCUUUGACCCGGCGAUGUCCGAAUGGGGAAACCCAGUGUGUUCCGACACACUAUCGUUAACUGAAUACAUAGGUUAACGAGGCGAACCGGGGGAACUGAAACAUCUAAGUACCCCGAGGAAAAGAAAUCAACCGAGAUUCCCCCAGUAGCGGCGAGCGAACGGGGAGCAGCCCAGAGUCUGAAUCAGCUUGUGUGUUAGUGGAAGCGUCUGGAAAGUCGCACGGUACAGGGUGACAGUCCCGUACACGAAAGCACACAGGUUGUGAACUCGAAGAGUAGGGCGGGACACGUGGUAUCCUGUCUGAAUAUGGGGGGACCAUCCUCCAAGGCUAAAUACUCCUGACUGACCGAUAGUGAACCAGUACCGUGAGGGAAAGGCGAAAAGAACCCCGGCGAGGGGAGUGAAAAAGAACCUGAAACCGUGUACGUACAAGCAGUGGGAGCACCUUCGUGGUGUGACUGCGUACCUUUUGUAUAAUGGGUCAGCGACUUAUAUUCUGUAGCAAGGUUAACCGUAUAGGGGAGCCGAAGGGAAACCGAGUCUUAACUGGGCGUUAAGUUGCAGGGUAUAGACCCGAAACCCGGUGAUCUAGCCAUGGGCAGGUUGAAGGUUGGGUAACACUAACUGGAGGACCGAACCGACUAAUGUUGAAAAAUUAGCGGAUGACUUGUGGCUGGGGGUGAAAGGCCAAUCAAACCGGGAGAUAGCUGGUUCUCCCCGAAAGCUAUUUAGGUAGCGCCUCGUGAACUCAUCUUCGGGGGUAGAGCACUGUUUCGGCUAGGGGGCCAUCCCGGCUUACCAACCCGAUGCAAACUACGAAUACCGAAGAAUGUUAUCACGGGAGACACACGGCGGGUGCUAACGUCCGUCGUGAAGAGGGAAACAACCCAGACCGCCAGCUAAGGUCCCAAAGUCAUGGUUAAGUGGGAAACGAUGUGGGAAGGCACAGACAGCCAGGAUGUUGGCUUAGAAGCAGCCAUCAUUUAAAGAAAGCGUAAUAGCUCACUGGUCGAGUCGGCCUGCGCGGAAGAUGUAACGGGGCUAAACCAUGCACCGAAGCUGCGGCAGCGACGCUUAUGCGUUGUUGGGUAGGGGAGCGUUCUGUAAGCCGUUGAAGGUGUGCUGUGAGGCAUGCUGGAGGUAUCAGAAGUGCGAAUGCUGACAUAAGUAACGAUAAAGCGGGUGAAAAGCCCGCUCGCCGGAAGACCAAGGGUUCCUGUCCAACGUUAAUCGGGGCAGGGUGAGUCGACCCCUAAGGCGAGGCCGAAAGGCGUAGUCGAUGGGAAACAGGUUAAUAUUCCUGUACUUGGUGUUACUGCGAAGGGGGGACGGAGAAGGCUAUGUUAGCCGGGCGACGGUUGUCCCGGUUUAAGCAUGUAGGCGGAGGUUCCAGGUAAAUCCGGUACCUUUUAACGCUGAGGUGUGAUGACGAGGCACUACGGUGCUGAAGUAACAAAUGCCCUGCUUCCAGGAAAAGCCUCUAAGCAUCAGGUAACACGAAAUCGUACCCCAAACCGACACAGGUGGUCAGGUAGAGAAUACCAAGGCGCUUGAGAGAACUCGGGUGAAGGAACUAGGCAAAAUGGUGCCGUAACUUCGGGAGAAGGCACGCUGAUAUGUAGGUGAAGCCCCUGCGGGUGGAGCUGAAAUCAGUCGAAGAUACCAGCUGGCUGCAACUGUUUAUUAAAAACACAGCACUGUGCAAACACGAAAGUGGACGUAUACGGUGUGACGCCUGCCCGGUGCCGGAAGGUUAAUUGAUGGGGUUAGCGGCAACGCGAAGCUCUUGAUCGAAGCCCCGGUAAACGGCGGCCGUAACUAUAACGGUCCUAAGGUAGCGAAAUUCCUUGUCGGGUAAGUUCCGACCUGCACGAAUGGCGUAAUGAUGGCCAGGCUGUCUCCACCCGAGACUCAGUGAAAUUGAACUCGCUGUGAAGAUGCAGUGUACCCGCGGCAAGACGGAAAGACCCCGUGAACCUUUACUAUAGCUUGACACUGAACACUGGUCCUUGAUGUGUAGGAUAGGUGGGAGGCUUUGAAGCGUGGACGCCAGUCUGCGUGGAGCCGUCCUUGAAAUACCACCCUUUAAUGGCUGGUGUUCUAACGUAGACCCGUAAUCCGGGUUGCGGACAGUGUCUGGUGGGUAGUUUGACUGGGGCGGUCUCCUCCCAAAGAGUAACGGAGGAGCACGAAGGUUAGCUAAUCCUGGUCGGACAUCAGGAGGUUAGUGCAAUGGCAUAAGCUAGCUUGACUGCGAGAGUGACGGCUCGAGCAGGUGCGAAAGCAGGUCAUAGUGAUCCGGUGGUUCUGAAUGGAAGGGCCAUCGCUCAACGGAUAAAAGGUACUCCGGGGAUAACAGGCUGAUACCGCCCAAGAGUUCAUAUCGACGGCGGUGUUUGGCACCUCGAUGUCGGCUCAUCACAUCCUGGGGCUGAAGUAGGUCCCAAGGGUAUGGCUGUUCGCCAUUUAAAGUGGUACGCGAGCUGGGUUUAGAACGUCGUGAGACAGUUCGGUCCCUAUCUGCCGUGGGCGCUGGAGAAUUGAGGGGGGCUGCUCCUAGUACGAGAGGACCGGAGUGGACGCAUCACUGGUGUUCGGGUUGUCAUGCCAAUGGCACUGCCCGGUAGCUAAAUGCGGAAAAGAUAAGUGCUGAAAGCAUCUAAGCACGAAACUUGCCCCGAGAUGAGUUCUCCCUGAGACUUUAAGUCUCCUGAAGGAACGUUGAAGACGACGACGUUGAUAGGUCGGGUGUGUAAGCGCAGCGAUGCGUUGAGCUAACCGAUACUAAUGAACCGUGAGGCUUAACCUUACAACGCCGAAG
This 2926-nucleotide ribosomal RNA is filed under the name Enterobacter cloacae. RNAcentral describes it as "bacterial LSU rRNA". It matches the Rfam family "Bacterial large subunit ribosomal RNA". The record is from RNAcentral. RNAcentral also lists the same sequence under 1 other name. Lineage: Bacteria; Pseudomonadati; Pseudomonadota; Gammaproteobacteria; Enterobacterales; Enterobacteriaceae.